This 276-nucleotide long non-coding RNA is filed under the name Elaeis guineensis (African oil palm). RNAcentral describes it as "long non-coding RNA (EGUI_LNC028488)". Lineage: Eukaryota; Viridiplantae; Streptophyta; Magnoliopsida; Arecales; Arecaceae. The record is from RNAcentral.
GAUCAAGUCCAUAAUCUUGAACCUAACCUAAAUCCAUUUGGGUUUAGCUGGAUGCCUAAUUAUGAGCCCAAGAGGAUUAGAUCAUGUCAAUGAGUUGGCAAUCUAAUCUUCUCUUUUUUUUCUUUGAUAUUUCCUUUUGAAAUGGAGAAUUGAUAGAAAGAAGAGGGAGGUGCAAGCCUCCCUUUUUGGUAGGACCAAGGGGCACCAACCCCUUGGAUGGCGUGAGGAUGAGAGAGGGGGCCACCCCCUUUUUUGGCUUGGGGAGGAAGGAGAGAG